This 441-nucleotide ribosomal RNA is filed under the name uncultured bacterium. Its description in RNAcentral is "partial 16S ribosomal RNA". It matches the Rfam family "Bacterial small subunit ribosomal RNA", at positions 339 to 795 of the family's 1533-position model. The record is from RNAcentral.
CUACGGGCUGCAGCAGUGGGGAAUCUUGCGCAAUGGGCGAAAGCCUGACGCAGCAACGCCGCGUGCGGGAUUCCUUCAUUCGGGUUGUAAACCGCUUUUACCAGGAAGGAAAAUGACAGUACCUGGAGAAUAAGGUGCGGCCAACUACGUGCCAGCAGCCGCGGUGACACGUAGGCACCAAGCGGUUGUCCGGAUUUAUUGGGCGUAAAGAGCUCGUAGGCGGUUCAGUAAGUCGGGUGUGAAAACUCUGGGCUUAACCCAGAGACGCCACCCGAUACUGCUGUGACUUGAGUCCGGUAGGGGAGUGGGGAAUUCCUGGUGUAGCGGUGAAAUGCGCAGAUAUCAGGAGGAACACCAAUGGCGAAGGCACCACUCUGGGCCGAGACUGACGCUGAGGAGCGAAAGCGUGGGUAGCAAACAGGAUUAGAUACCCCCGUAGUC